Molecule: ribosomal RNA, 616 nt
Filed under: uncultured Methylotenera sp.
Lineage: Bacteria; Pseudomonadati; Pseudomonadota; Betaproteobacteria; Nitrosomonadales; Methylophilaceae
Description: bacterial SSU rRNA
Rfam family: Bacterial small subunit ribosomal RNA
Source: RNAcentral
AUGCUUUACACAUGCAAGUCGAACGGCAGCACGGACUUCGGUCUGGUGGCGAGUGGCGAACGGGUGAGUAAUGUAUCGGAACGUAUCCAGUAAUGGGGGAUAACUAAUCGAAAGGUUGGCUAAUACCGCAUACGCCCUACGGGGGAAAGCAGGGGAUCUUCGGACCUUGCGUUAAUGGAGCGGCCGAUAUCUGAUUAGCUAGUUGGUGAGGUAAGAGCUCACCAAGGCGACGAUCAGUAGCUGGUCUGAGAGGACGACCAGCCACACUGGAACUGAGACACGGUCCAGACUCCUACGGGAGGCAGCAGUGGGGAAUUUUGGACAAUGGGCGCAAGCCUGAUCCAGCCAUUCCGCGUGAGUGAAGAAGGCCUUCGGGUUGUAAAGCUCUUUCGCAAGGGAAGAAACGAUGCAGACGAAUAAUCUGUGUUAAUGACGGUACCUUGAUAAGAAGCACCGGCUAACUACGUGCCAGCAGCCGCGGUAAUACGUAGGGUGCAAGCGUUAAUCGGAAUUACUGGGCGUAAAGCGUGCGCAGGCGGUUUUGUAAGUCAGAUGUGAAAUCCCCGAGCUCAACUUGGGAACUGCGUUUGAAACUACAAGACUAGAAUAUGUCAGA